Molecule: long non-coding RNA, 476 nt
Organism: Anguilla anguilla (European eel)
Lineage: Eukaryota; Metazoa; Chordata; Actinopteri; Anguilliformes; Anguillidae
Exons: 3
Source: RefSeq, a predicted model, not a curated record
CAAGAACAAAAACAAAAAAUGUCAUGGCAUGAAAUAUUCACCCCAUUCUGCCAAUGAAAGCCAGACACCAAAUUUGUUUGAAACUACUAUGUUUUGUUGAGAGAGACACCAAAUGUAUUUCCCUCUACGAAUAUGGCAGCUGUCCGGUUUAGAGUUCGACGCCUGUAGAGGGGAUGCAGUUACAGCAGCACCGAGACAAAUGUCAACAUCGGUGUGGCUUUCCCAAUGAACAGUUUGACGGUUGACUCCGAGCUGGCAGUGUUUCUACCCCACAGCAGUGUCCGGAAAGUCAGGAGUUUGGUGCUGACGUGAAAAUCUUCAGUGCUGGACCAACGGCCAAGUCCUUUAUUCACUGGUGUAUCCACUGGACGUGCCCCUACAGUCUGUUAGGGGACGAUUCAGACCUUCUAUCACCAGUAUCAUCUACCAUUGGCACUGCAAAGAGGCGCAACAAAAAUAUGCACAGAAUGUUGCCA